CUUCCACAAUGUCUGUGGUACCUUUUAAACCGUAUCUAAUCUUUCAGUUUCUCACAUGAAGGAGACAAUGUGAUAUUUACACAUGUGAGUCUGAUUUAUCUCACUUAGGACUAUGUUCUCAAGUUGUAUCUAUUUACCUACAAAACAAAGUUUAUCCUUCUUUCUAGCUGAGUAAUACUUCAUUGUAUAAAAAUACCACCUCUUUUUUAUCCAUUCCUCAGUUGAUGGGCAUUUAUGUUGUUUCCAAGAUCUGGCUAUUGCAAAUUGUGCUGCUAUAUGUGCAUCAGUGAGAACCAGGUGAGAUGCUGCACAUGGCCAUGACUGUCCACCGUGACACAACGUUCUCUGGGACCACUGCCCAUGGGAAAGAGCCAUAGGUACACAUAUAUCACUGUGGUAUUAUGAUUUUAAUUUUUCUGGGAAGAUGCCCAGAAAGGGAAUAGCUGCAUCAAAUGGGACCUCUAAUUCUAGUUUUCUGGGGAAUCUCCACACUGAAUUCCAUAGUGGUUUCACCAGUCUACAUUCCCACCAACAGUGGAGAAGGGCUCCUUUUUCCCCACAGCCCCUCCAGCAUGUUAUUGAUUGAUUUCUUGAUGACAGCCAUGCUUUCUGGAGUGAGAUGGAAUCUCAGUGUAGUUUUAACUUGCAUUUCUCGAAUGACCAGUGAUGUUGAACACUUUUUAGUGUAUUUAUUUGCCUUUUGUACGAAGUGUGUAUUCAUCUCAGAUGCCCAUUUUUGACGGUUUCAGUUUUUAAAUGUAAACUAAUUAAGCUGAAAUAUAUCUUAAAGACACAUCCUCUGGACCCCAGGGUCACAAUAUCAAGUGCUCAAGGCCACACAUAGCUGGGGACUUCUGUAUUGGAUGGCGCCGGUCCAGACAAUGUGUGACCGUCCUCACUUAUUAGAUCAGCUGGCUAAGUUCCCUCCCCUGUGGCCUGUGGCCUUGGGUUCAUUUGAAACACUCACACAGCACUUGCUGGAGGCCGAGUCCUCCUGCUGUUCAUAGGCAUGCAGAGGACACUGGGGCCAUGAGAUGGGGCCUCUGGGCUUUUGGGGAGCAGACAGGUGAGGGGCUGUAGUUAUGUCCCUUGCAUUCUCUGAAGCUGCACUGGUAUGCUGGACAGGGCAUAGCUGAGUGGGGAUAGGUCCGUGGGUUGCUCAUGUUUCUUCUCUAAGCCUCCUCAAGUCCCCUGCAGCUGUCACCUCUUUGUCUGGCACGAUUGCAUACACUACCCCUUUCCUUGAGGUGCAGACACAUGAAGCAUUGCCUGGCAGACAGAUGGUGCUCCUGAGUGGCUCGGGGCACAGACAGAGCAUGGGCUCUCUAGGCCGAGUUGCCACAUAUUGCCUCUUCUCAUUGGCCACAGGGUCCUAGCUCUGACUGCUUUCAGGGGACCACACUAUUUGGGGGUUCGGUGCCCCACUCCAGGGUAACUGAUAAUAGCUCCGAGAAGCAGGUGCUGCCCUGCGCCCACUCUGUGGAUGGCACCCUGGCUUCUCUUCCCGAGAGCUGCUGAGCCGAGGUGCUCCAUGCCUGGGUUCUAGUCUCGGCUCUGCAUCUUCCCAGUCCCAGCCAAAUUUUCCCAACUGUCCUAUGAGUAGAUUGAACCCUCUGGUGGCCUAGUGUCUCCUACCUGUCAGAGACACAGUAUCUGCCAUCUAAAUGAUUUUGCUUUGGGGAUGGCGUUGAGAGAGGGCUAAGUUGAUGCGGGGAGGGAGAACUACUUUGAACUGCCUGGUUCAGGCCUUCCUGCAGCCCAUCCCUAAUGAGAGGAGGAGAGGGGGAAGAGGAGGAGAAGGUAAGGCCUGUACAGCCCCCAGAGGCUGGGCCAGGAUGCCCUCCGGGGUGACCGGGACACUGGGAGAAGCCAGCUCUGCAUCUUGGCACUUAGGCCUCGCAGCUGCUAGGGGCUGGCUGCCUGCAGUCCGUGGACUGGCAUGGAGGUGGCCCGCGGCUGGGACAGGUGGGGGUAUGUGGAGGGGCAUCCAUCACUGCCAGUAGCUCACGCCGGCCCUGCCAAGUGGUGGUGGAACUGGGCCCAGGUGUCAGUGUGCCUGCUAACUGGAUUGCUAUUUGAAAAAUUGCAGCAGGGUCAAGAAAGUCUAACCUCCACCUUUAUAUCAGGAGUCUGGAGCCCGGCGGGUGUUGGCCAGAGCAGGGCUGUUUGUGUAGGGCGGCCAGUGGGAAGGUGCCCUGGACGGGACAGAUUGCAGCAAAGGACGUGAUCUGCCCAGUGUGGGGAGAAGGGAGCAGCACAGGUCAGGGGACAGAGAACGUGCAGCUGGCUCCAGCAUGGGAGGGUUAACUGGUGCCUGCUGAGUGCCAGGCAAUAGUGCCAGGUGCCAGGGGGUGCAGAGAUAGAGGUGGCGUCUCCAGGACGCAUAGCACAGCAAAGGACAGGACAGUACCUUGGGAACCAAGGUACUUUUAUGGUCUCACUAUGAUUUGUUCUUUUAAAAUCGGAAGACAAAAAUAGACUUUCAUGUUGAAUUUUUUCUAUUAUGAUUAAAUAGUGUUUGCACAAAACUCACGUGCUCUCAGCAUGAGACUUGGUGGAGAGUGGGGUUUCUUGUGGUUGUAAGCAGAGGGGAGCUCACACUGCAGCUUGGUGAGCUGAAAGAGACACUCAGAGACACAGGACCCAAUUGUGUGACAUUCGAGGAAAGGGUAGUGUGAUGUAGCCACUGGCCAAAGACACCACAGCCCCCAGAAGGUGGAAGAGGCAGGAAGGAGCCUCCUCUGCACCCAUGGAAGAAAUCAGCCUGCUGACACCUUGAAUUUGGACUUUGGCCCCCAGAACUGUGGCAGAAUAAAUUUCAAUUGUUUUAACUCACUUGGGUCAUGGCUGUGAAUUAUGGUGCCUUGUCAGGACGCAGGAGAAUACGUAAUCUUAAUUGGCCUCUAUUCUAGAACCCAGUUGCAAGGUCUACAUUCUAUCACUGUUAUUAUUAAUUUUUUUAGUGGAAGUGGGAACUCUGGAAAGCAGAGGAGCCCAGGACCCAGGAAAGUCUUCCUGGGAGGUGACACGAUCUCCGUUGUCUAGUUCAGCUUUGGCACUGGACCAGGCUGGGCCAUGCUGGGUGAUGGGGUUGGGAGGGUGUCCUGGGCAGAUGGAGCUCUGACCCCUGUAGAGGUGAGGUAUAGGGAAAUAUGGGGGCCCUUUGGGUCAGAGUCUUGGUUCUGGUUCUGGUCCUGCCAUUUCCUAGCUGUGUCAUCUUGAGAGGAGAUGUGACCUUGUAAGUCCUCUGUGGCCUGAUCUGCUAAAGUGAGGGCCCCUAUUUUAGGGGGUACCCCUGAGAAUCUAGGGAAAAAGUACUGUGUGCCCUGGUGGGAGCAAAGUCUCUGCAGAACUUGGUCAAAGCUGGGGACUCAGUGCCUCGUCUACAAUGCAUUUGUCACCUAUCGAUACUUAGUGACUUCCUCUGUGGGCCAAAGAUGGCCCCACGGCUGUCAGAGGGCACCAGAGCAUCGUAAACAAGGAUGCUACAGCCUUCCAGAGUUUUUCAUCCAACCAGGGUUCAAAGAGCUGAGCUCUUUGUGUCAUUAUGGGUCUGAGGGACCAUCCUGGCCAGGGACCCAGGGGUGCCUGAGGGUCUUGUCCCUGCAGUAAGCCAGUACUCUGCCGUCCUUCACAGGCCCAGGGGGCCACUCCAGCCUCUGCCACCCCGAAACCCUUACCUUUCAGGGUAUCUGGACAUGGGGGCCACUUUUGACCAAAGGCCCUCAACUGGCCAGCAGUGGAGUCAGGGUGGGUAGCAGGGCAGAGGCUUUCCCUGCAUGAGCUGGGCGAGGCCUGGCCUUGUCCUGGCUGCCCAGGGGUGGCCCACAAAGGCUUCGAGACUGGGACUUCUGAUGAGCCAUCGAGUUUCAGCACUGGUUGCUCUGAUCUCCACAGGAGAUGUCCAACUCUAGCGCCACCUACUUACAGGUGGAGACUGUCCCCCCUUCCAGGGACAGGUGCCACAUGGCACGCUGAGGCAGCCAGGGCUGCAUCUGAGUACUGUGCACAUGUCACCCCAGCUAGACUCCUGGGAGGGCCUGAAGGAUAGACAGGAUUGCAACCCUUCCCUUGUGGAAGAGGGAAGGAGGCACAGGGUGGCUGAGACUCUUGCUUCUGGCCAGCUUGUGGCUGGCCUGGGAGAGACUCAGGAGGGAACGCUUUCCUCCCCAGGAGUCCCGAGGGCUGGAAGCAGCCCUGCAUUCCUGCCUGUAGGUGGGGCCCUGUUCACAGGUUGCUCCCGGGCUGCAUCCCCUUGAAGGGCUCUGUGCUUGUUUUCUGACUCCAAACUGGCAUCUCUGCAAGAGUCCUUGGCCAGUGCAGAGGGGAAUGGGGUGUAAGGCCCAGUCCCCCAAACUCAGCCCCUUCCUGCAGAAGCCUUCAGGCUGUGGAAUGCAGUGUAGACUCAGCUUGGGAGCAACCCUUUUCCCUGCAGCAGGCGGAAUCCAACUGGGCAGGCCUGGAUGUACCAUGAGUCCUCUACCCUGUCCCCUCCAGCCCACUGCCUAAUGAAGGAAGGACUCUGUCCUCCAUCACUGUACCAAAGGUUCCCCAGGGUGGCUCUAUGGAGGAUCCCUGGAGAGGUGUUUGCUCUCGUGGGCCUAAGUGACCUUGGGCCAGAGGCAAGUGAGUGCUGACAAGUGAGACCUGGUACUCUGUAGAAUCUCCGCGCUCCUGUGAUCUCUAGCUGGUCAGUUCCCCAGGCCUUGGUUCACUCCCUGGAAAAUGGGCCGAAGGGGUGGUUGAUUUGGUGACCCCUAUGGUGUCCCCUAGGAGUCACAGCAGAGUGAGGGUCCUGAUUUCACCACAGCAUUGCUGGGUAACACUGGUCACCUGGCAUCUCUAGGCUUCAGGUUGCUCGUCUGUGAAAUGGAGAGAACACAAGGCCCACUGGCCACCAGACUACAGGGACACAACCACCAGCCACUUAGCAUAUGUCUGACACAUGGAAUGCCCUGUCCCUGAGCCUCCAACUUGAUUACUUUCAAUGAUGAGGAUGAUUAUUUGGGGGGGGGUACUUAUUGAGCUAUAAACAACCUGCCCCUCCCCCUACAAACUGCAGAUCGGUGCUCUGUGCUCAUGGUCUUGCCUUUUCUAGAAUGUUCUGUAAAGGAACCAUGCAAGUGUGACUGACUCCCGUCAUUUCCCACAAUGCACUGGGUUCUGUCCUGUUGUUUUGCAUGUCUGCAACUCGCUCCUUUUUGUGGCUCACUAUGCUUGACAAUUGCAAGGAUGCUGGGGCAUCUGAGUGCCAUCCACCAGUUCCUGGACAGUCCAGUUGCCUCCUAUGAAUACAGCUGCUGUGAAUGUUUGCAUCCGGGUCUUUGUGUGGAUGUAGGUUUUCAUUUCUCCUGGUACCCAGUAGCAGGGGACUGUUGCUGGAUUGUAGGUUAAGUGUAUAUUAAGUGAAGUAACUGCUAGCCCCUUUGCCAAAGGGACCGCACCAUUUUGCGUUUUGAGCAGCCACGUCUGAGUGUCCGUUGUUUCACGCCUUUGCUCACACUUGCUACUGGGAACUUAAAAUCUUAGCCACCUUAAUACGUGUGUAGCGGUUUUUAUUUGCAUUUGCCUGGGGUCUGAUAACCUUCAACAUCUUUCCAUUUGCUGCUCUUGCCGUCAAAUUGGGUUUAUCUUGCUGAGUUGUAAGAGCUCUUUCUGCAUUCUGGAUGUAUUUACCAGGUAUGUAUUUCAGCCAUAUUUUCUCCUAGGACAUGGGUUUUCUUUUCAUUUUUUAAACAGUGUCUUUGUUUCAGUUUGAUGGGCCACAUUGAUAAUUUUUAUACUUUUUUGACUCCUAAGAGCACUUUGCCUAACCCAAAGUCACAGAAUUUCUCCUUGUGGCUUUUUUUUUUUUUUUUUUUUUUUUUUUUUUUUUGCCUUUGGGUUGUAGGUCUUGCUCUAAAGGUUAAUGACCUACUCUAGGUUGGUUCUGUCCAUAGUGCCCAGGGUGACCUUACCUGGCCCAGCCAGCUGGCCAGGUCUAUCUUGUCAUGGCCACCUCUGUCCACCUGGCAGCUGUUGGCUGAGUCUCCUGUGCCAGCUGUAACCAUUGCAAGUACCACCAUUGGGCCACUCUGGGAAUGUGGUGCUGGAUUCAGCUCAUCCUGUCCUGUUUGUCCUCAGAUCUAAGGGUGGCCUUGUCUGGUGGAAGCCUAGGCAGGGUCCUACCUGCUUACUGGAUGUGAUUACCAGGUGAUGACCUUUGCCUUCCUUCUUUCCCGGCUAGCUGCUGCCUCUGUGGGCUGCAGGACAUUUCCCCUUUACUUCCUGUGUCCAAGCUGGUACACCUGUCCUAUCAGUGCCCACCCCUGGACCUAUUACCAGACUUACUGCUUCUCUCCCCCAGUGGGUCACGGGCCCCAUUUUUGGGGAAACUGAGUUUGCAAGAGAUCCAGUUGUGAUGUGAGGUUGAACAUACGUCGUGAGUAGCAGACCCUGGAACCCAUUUGGAACUUUAGGGUCCCUGUAAUCCCCCAUGCUCGGGUGCAUUUCUAGGACAGCCCUCUGCUUGUUGAGCUGCAUAAAUCUGUGUGCAUGGGGAGCAUGGACUGACCGACCCAGUGAUGGUCAGUGUAAGGUUACUUCAGGGUAAGGUUACUUCUGCCCUCCUGCCUACUCACUGCCAAUUUCUUGAGGAUUUGUCUUCUCCUUUACCAGAGACUUGGUACUUGCUGGUAUAAAAUACUGGGCAGCCCAGCUGACCCCAUGCACUUCAGGUGAAACUGUCCCAGGGUAACUUGGAGUCCAGAAUGGAUUGGGGGCAGCAGCUGGCUGUGACCUUUGCCAGCUGUGACCAUCCCAGAUAGAGCCCACAGGGCUGGUUGUCCCAUGUCUCUGCCAUGGAUCCCUGCUAUGGCAAGGGCUUUGUUGCUGAUGAAGGUCAUGUUUGCCUGGGCACAGUGUGGCCCGUAUGCACGGACCAUCAUAGGCUCUAUGUCUGAUGCAGGUGAUCAUGGCUCCUUUGGGCUGCAGUCAGGGAGAUGGCACUUGUCCUGUGCUUCAGUGUCCCCAACCCCCAGUAAUGGUGGGUUCUCAUUCUUUCCAGAUAGAGGACUUUGCUGAUGACCCUCAGUUUUGUUCUCUUUGUGCAGUUCCUUUGGUUGCUGAAAUAACUUUACCAGAGCCUCACCCCUCACCUGUCUCAGUGGCCCAGGGAGGAAGCCAGUAGGAUCCUGUCCCCUCUGGCGGGACUGCAGAGGUCCUCAGAGGCCACAGGAGUGGACACCACACCAUGGGAUACAUCAAGUUUAAUGAACACAGCCCAAGGCAGGGUAAACCCAUGGCCAGACAGCCAGCAUGGGGUUUCAAGUAGUGGAGGGAAUGAAGACAGGCUUGACCUCAGAUUCAAGAAGGAGACUUCUAGAAAAACAGGGGCAGUCUACUGGUUAAGGGGGAGCAUAUCAGGUAUCUCUGACUGCAUAACCAGUAGCCCCAUCAAUGGCUUAGGACAAUGAGAAACAGCCCAUAGCACCGUGGCUGUGGGGCAGGAUGUUAGCAGUAGCUGAGCUCAUCUGACCUGGCUCUUGGUCUUGCACGGGAUGGGGUUCAGGGUGUUGGCCAGCUGCACCCUCAGGCUGCCUGGGAUCCAGACCUACCUCCAAGGUAGCUGCCCCUAUGUCGGGUCUUGAUUGUGCGUGUUUGUCUCAGUCCCUCCCACACGAACUUUGCACAGGGUUGCCUGGUCUUUUGUAACCUAGCUUCCAAAAGCACACAUGAGCUGGGGUGGUGGCGCACGCCUGUAAUCCCAGCACUUGGGAAGCUGAGGCAGGAGGAUCGUUAUGAGUUUGAGAUCAGCCUGGGCUACAAAGUGAGCUCAAGUUCAGCCUGAACUACAAUAGUGAGAUCCUGUCUCAAACCACACACACACACACACACACACACACACACUCACACACACACACACUCAUACACACACACAUGCGCACACACACACACACACACACACACACACACACACACCUAAAACGAAAGCACACAUAGCCAUAGCUACACAGUCCUGCCUGUUCUGGGGGAGGGGAUCAUAUGAGUGCAUGGAAGGUUCUAGAGGUGAGGAUUGUCACAGCUGGUGCCAACCAGGAAGGAGGAGACUCCAGGGAGCCAGGAGAGCCGUCUGAUUUGAAAGAGUGGGAUGCAGGGUAUGAAAGGAACAGAUAAAGGGUGAUGAGGAGCAGAGACGGCGCUGGUGAGUGACCCAACCUCUCUGAGCCUUCACCCUCUGUCUGCAGGAUGGAGAGGGCAGCGAUGCCAGAUGGGGUGAUGGGAAGCCCCGAUGUGGGGGUGUGAUAAGGAGCGUCCCAGGGGCCCUGCUAGAUGGAGAGUGUGCAGGGACACCUGGCAGGUCUGGAGGGUGGAAAUGUGUGUGCAUGUGUGUGUGUGUGGGGGUGUGUGUGAGACAGGAGUGGCCUGUGGCUGUGUUGUCAGGAAGAUGUUGAGGUAGGGCAGGAAGAGACUCCGGCAUCCAGUGCCCCACACGAGAGCAGGAGGGGAGGAGAGGUGCUGUGGCCCUGAGCAGCAGUGUACACAUGGGCACCCUUGGCCUGGGCAACUCUGGGAUACCCCAGGUCUCACAAGCCUCCCAGCAGGAGGGGCCUGAUACCUAUCCUGGACAGCGGGUCUCCGUGCGGAGUGGGCAGCUACUCAAGGGACUGGAUCCCAGGGGAUGGCGCGAGUAUUGUGCCACCCCUCACCCAGCAGCCCGACUCUCAGCCUCAGCCUCUGUCCCCACCAGUGUGUUCUCUUGGUGAGGCACCUCCAGCUCCUCCCGUGACUUUGUAGCCACCUCAGACCGUGCUGGGCCUGGGACCUCCCUGGCACUCCUCUGGCUCCCACUGCCCUGUGGGGCUUGGAGCCCCUGCAGGUCCCAGCAUUCACCUGGCAGGAAGGACCACGGCCUCCAUAGGGAGCUUUCUUGAACUAUCUUAAUCCCUGUUUCCUUUCCUUCCCAGGUGCUCCCCUCCUGCUCCCGAAACAGAAUUCGGUGCUCCAGAAAGCCAGGGCACCUUAGGAGCUGGAAGACUGCUCUAUGGCCGCACAGGCUCACUCCUGCUUGACGGAGAAUGUCCCCACGGCUUAUGCAACACAGCUUGGCCAGGGUGUUACCAUUGUCCUGUGCUCCUGGCUGCAGAAAAGGACAUUAGAGGGUGGAUUUCCUUGGAAACACUAGACGGAGCCUGGCUCCCAGUGUGACACCAGCUUACCUGGGUAGGACGGGGUGGGCAGGUGGGCGGGGUGCUCAGCUGGGGCAAGGGUUGGCGUAGGGAGGCCGAGGAGAAGCAGAAAUUCCUCCUGGCUGCCCUCCACCCUGGAUAUGGCCAGACUCCCAAAUGCAAGAUGGGACCAAAGCGACUGGUACCCACCUGUCAUGCUGCACAGCCGUGGGCAGUGGGUACUUUCCGGGGGAAAGGGACUAGGGGAUGUCAGGGCUGGCCACGAGGUCUGGGUGUCUUGCUUACACACAGGGGUCAAAGCCAAGGACAGGAGCUUCUUGUGGGCACAGAGUAGCCCAAGCCGCAGCCCUCAGGCUGUGGGGCUGAGCACAGGCAGGAUGGAGCCUGCGGGCUGCAUUGGGCUCUGUCAGCGUCAUGUGAGGUGGACAGGUGCUUCUGAAGAGCAGUUCACGAGAAACUCUUAAAAGCAACUUUAAAAAGGAAAGUUUGGCGAAGAGAAGCCAGUGGCUUGAAGAAAGCCACUUUUCCCACCCUGACUCGGGUUCAGAUGUCAGAGCUCAGCACCCGGUCCAAGUCCCUGACCCUCUUUUGCUACAGUUUGUGACAAAACAAAACCCUGUCCCUUAGGAAUAAAUGUGGAGCCAUUUCACGUGAGGGGGUGAGGCUGCACUGCGGGUUACUCACCUCCUCAUUUCCUGAAAGAACCUUCAAGGAGGUAUUAGAAACGCACCCGGUGAAGCUUCCUCAGCUCCCAGCUGCCGCAGAAUCCAGGGCCGUGGCGACCCUGUUCUGGCUAAAGGAAUGUUCAGCUAAAGUCCAAGGGUCUGCUCUGAGAGCCUUGCUUUCCUAAUACAGGUAUCGCCUCCCCUCCUGGGCUCUGUGUUGAUUUUUCUCUUGGAGCUGAGGUUGAGGUCUGGAGUCCAUACUGAGCCAUAAGAAUGCAUCUGUGAACUCAAAAAGAUGAAACGCUUUGACACUGAAAGCGACAGGAAAAUACUGCCCCAUUGUUAGCUGAGAAAACUAAAAACCACAUGAUGAAGUCUUUGAAGGGGAUUCAGAUACCUCCAAACUGAUGCAUUCGGUGUUUGGCAUGUAUAGAUGCUCAAUAAAAGCUAACCAUACUCACUUUUUUUUGGCAAGCUUCUGCGGUGCGACAGGAAUGCUGCUUGCCAUAACAUGUCCAGGAAGGGAGUGACUGGUUCUCAAACCUAGAACCCUGGGCAUUCAGGCCAGUGUACUGUCCAGUGUUUCCUGGCCUGAGACAGGGCAUGAAUCUGGUGACCAUGGUUCUAGGACCAGGAGGUUCUGUGCAUGGGCUCAGGUACCUGAUGAUCUCAUUCCCUUAGCAACUAUCACUGAGCAUCUGGAUACCAGCUCAGGGCAGGCCUGUCCCUGCCCUUGGGGAACUUAAGAGUGUGUGUGGAGAUAAUGACAGAUGGAUGCAGAAGGAAAUGUGGCCCAUUGUGGUUGUUCAGUAGGUACAAAGUCACCACAGACACUGGGUUAAGAAAGAUGAACAGAAGUAUAGGGAAGGUUCCCAUGGGCCUCUGGCUAUGACAUUUUUAUCAGGUGACAUCGUAUCAGCACAAAGCCCUGUCUAUGUGUGUUCCCAUUUAAAGACACUUUAUUCAGGUUUGUUAACAUUGAAGUUAUGGCCACGGCAUUGUCCCUCACACCGGUGUGAAGGUCGCCCCCCACAUGUGCUUCCUCCACAAGGCACAGCAGGUCCUCCUGCCCUUCAGAGCAUGAGCAGCAUCAGCACAUCAGUGCUGGGCUCAGGGCCACUUUAAGUGCAAAAUCACCAACAGAAAGCACAGAAAUAUGGAAAAUAGGACACUGACUAGAUGCAGAAAGACUCCCUGGGGGACGAGGGAAGAGGGCAAUGAGCAGGGUUUGAGAACCCAGUAUAGGGGCUGUGAGUGUGGGUUCUGUACUGAGGUGACCAUGGGGUUGGGUGCACCCACAGCUUGAGUCUCAUCUGACCCUGGCUAAGGUCCUCUUCUAGCACCAUAAUAUGGAGGACAAAGCCACAGUUGAUAUAGUUGUAUUCGUCCUAGAGGAAUAGAACACAGCUAGGCUCAUGGAAUCAGAGAGUCUGCAAGGUCACCUGCAUCCCAGAGAGCUGGAGGAUCCAGUAGCUGCUCAGUCUGAGAAGUUGGAAGCUGCAGCAGUCUGAGGCUGAAGGCCUGGAAGCUCCCCGCAGGGCUCAUGUGGAAUGGUCAAAGAAGCUGGAAUCUGAUGUCCACAGGCCUCAGUCCAGUCAAGGUGGCAGUCAAGAUCAUCUGUCAUAGAAGUGAAGAACCCAGAAACAGCCCAGCAGGCCAAGACCCCACUGCUACUUCACAGGACAGGAAAGCACAGCUCUAUCCAGCCCUCAGAAGCCAGAGUUGCCAUGAUGAUAGAAACUUUUGGAAGUGUCACUCGGGGCCACUACUUUAAAAAUAAAUGAACAUUUUCCUUACAAAGCUGAAGACAUGUGUUCCCUUCAACCAGUCAUGUACUGUCUUAGUCACUUUCUUAUUCUUGCAACUCAAUUUCUGACGCCCACAAUUUCAGGGAGGAGAGGCUUAUUUUGACUCACAGAUUCAGAAGUUUCAGUCAGUAGUCUGCAGGGCUAACUGUAGAAACGUCUAGAUAGAAGGGCCUGUCUGGGAGGAGAGCUGCUCAUGCCAUAGCUGUCAGGAAGCAGAGAGAGAAAGCAGGGGCCAGAAAGGCAGAUACACCCUUCCCGGCCACCCCCCAGUGACCUGCCUCUUGUGGUCAGGCCCUGCUCCUUAGCAGCAGCUCGGCUCUGAGCUUGUUGGUAGACAAAUCCCCUGAUACGACAGCACCCCAGGAUCCAAUCACCUUCCCAACACAUGAGGCUUUGGGGGGAUACUUUAGAUCUAACCCAUGACACAAGCAUGUAUGAACAGGUUCCUGAGAGAGAACUCCAGCAUGGGCCUGCAUUUCAGCAGUUUUGGUAGAGCAUAUGGUUCAAGGUUAUCCUCCUACUCUAGCACCUUAAUAGUGUAAUCUCACUUUAUUCUGCACCGCUAGCUUGAUGAGAGCUUGGCUGUGGGUCUGGCUGGUGGUCACUGCAGCCCUUCCUCGAUUCUCCAGCUCCUCCUAAGGCUUUCUUUUCUGUACUAACCAUUCUUCUGUCGUUGACCAUUUGACAUCUGAAAAUCAUGGGCAACCCAAAGCCCAGCAUUGUUUAUGGCCACAUCAUCUCUGGUUUUCAUGAACAGGAAGCAAAAUCACAUGACAAACCCUCCAACCACCCAAUAUCUGUGCUGUGUGUCUUGCUCCAAAGGGAACGUUUCCACCUUAUCCCUCUGCCUCUCUUGUGAAGCAGGCUCUGGUCUGUGCUGUCCCCUUGCCCCUCUUGCAUCCUGACUGUCCCUGCUGCUCCCCGCCAGGGUCCUUUGUGGCCUGACCUACUGCCUCCUCUUGGGGUCAGUGAGUAAUAAAUUCUUCUUUCAAGGCA
Long non-coding RNA from Cavia porcellus (domestic guinea pig), 12636 nucleotides. RefSeq lists it as uncharacterized. The record is from RefSeq and is a predicted model, not a curated record. The transcript is spliced from 2 exons. NCBI's taxonomy places the organism in Eukaryota, Metazoa, Chordata, Mammalia, Rodentia, Caviidae.